This 321-nucleotide ribosomal RNA is filed under the name Escherichia sp. E2586. RNAcentral's name for it is "bacterial SSU rRNA". It matches the Rfam family "Bacterial small subunit ribosomal RNA", at positions 1 to 316 of the family's 1533-position model. Lineage: Bacteria; Pseudomonadati; Pseudomonadota; Gammaproteobacteria; Enterobacterales; Enterobacteriaceae. The record is from RNAcentral.
UUAAAUUGAAGAGUUUGAUCAUGGCUCAGAUUGAACGCUGGCGGCAGGCCUAACACAUGCAAGUCGAACGGUAACAGGAAACAGCUUGCUGUUUCGCUGACGAGUGGCGGACGGGUGAGUAAUGUCUGGGAAACUGCCUGAUGGAGGGGGAUAACUACUGGAAACGGUAGCUAAUACCGCAUAACGUCGCAAGACCAAAGAGGGGGACCUUCGGGCCUCUUGCCAUCGGAUGUGCCCAGAUGGGAUUAGCUAGUAGGGUGGGGUAACGGCUCACCUAGGCGACGAUCCCUAGCUGGUCUGAGAGGAUCACCAGCACACUGG